Molecule: ribosomal RNA, 323 nt
Filed under: uncultured bacterium
Lineage: Bacteria
Description: bacterial SSU rRNA
Rfam family: Bacterial small subunit ribosomal RNA
Source: RNAcentral
GAUGAACGCUGGCGGCGUGCCUAACACAUGCAAGUCGAGCGAGAAGUCAUGGAUGGAAUCUUCGGAGGAAAGAAGUGAUAGAAAGCGGCGGACGGGUGAGUAACGCGUAGGUAACCUGCCCCAUACAGAGGGAUAGCCACUGGAAACGGUGAUUAAUACCUCAUGACACUUUCUCUUCGCAUGGAGGGAAGGUCAAAGAUUUAUCGGUAUGGGAUGGACCUGCGUCUGAUUAGCUAGUUGGUGGGGUAACGGCCUACCAAGGCGACGAUCAGUAGCCGGACUGAGAGGUUGAACGGCCACAUUGGGACUGAGAUACGGCCCAG